AUAAACAGGGCACUCACCGUCAGCCGGGCUGCCACCACAACACCCUCUUUAUUAAAACUUUCUUAAGACUGCACCAAAUCCGAGUAGGAGUAAAUGUUGUAAUGCAAUGUAAUUAAAUCUGGGAUAUUAACAAUUAAAUGUUAAGUUUGUAUCUUUACAUGAAUAUAUCUAGUUUUUAAUUAAUAUGCAUUUGUUCAAAACACAAGACAUUGUGCAUUUUCUUCUUUACAAAAUGGAUCGAAGGAAUCACAGCCAGUCUUCUUAGGUACUCACACACACAACAAACCUAUCUACUCAGUAUAAAAAAUUAUUCUGAAGUGGGAGGAGCCUGGAGGAGCUGCGUUGACUCCCUCCUGUUCUGUUGGUCUGGAAACCCCUUGCAUUUCAAAGGAGGAACAUUUGGAUCAAAUUUAAGGUAAGAAAACAGUUAGCAAAGUGGUUAGCUACCUUACUACAGUCUUUACAGUUUUCAGGUAAAAACGAGGCUUUACGUGUAAUUUGAAGAUCACGUUAUAGUGGAUUUAUACUGGAAGCCGGAGUAAUGUAACUAAUGUUACCAUGUGGCUAAAAGUUACUUCUAUGCCAUGCGAAGCUUAAGCUGAUCAAGGAAGAAUUCAGGAGGAUCAGACUGAAGCCACUAGAGUCCACAUUCCCAGGAAAGUUGGACAAACAUGUAGAUUGGAAGGGAGGAGGGUCCGUGUAUCUUUUGGUCAUUUGAUUUUCCUUUUAGAAACAGGUAACAAAAAAUAAAAUUACUUUAAAAGAGAAAACGAAAAAAGGCUCGUUUGUUCAUAUUCCGAGACCGGAUGUGGUCAUUUACGUGACAAGAGCGCCAAUGAGGACGGAGCUGUGUCGAAAAAAGUACGUGCUGCCUGUGUAAUUGAGCGUGAUCAGAGAGCGUGACGCAUGGACAUGGAACAAUACGUUGUUUUCCGAAACAAUAAAAAAGUCUGUCUCAGGGAAUAAGACAUGACUGCAGAAAAACUAAGUCGCAUUUUCCAGGUCUCAACUCAUAGUCUCUACAUGACUGACGACGCAAAUGUGGCAAUAUUUCCUGGAGCCUCUGGUGUUUUCAGCACAUUGGACCUUACUCCAAGAGCUCACUAUGAGGUUCACGGUGAGGAGGACGACACCUCAUCAGCUUCAAAUACCACAGCUCAACGUUUCACGUUCAUGCGAACACCUGCGACUACUUCUAGUCCAGCUGCGCAGCGGGCUGCCUCAGCCCCCUCCAGAGCCACUGUCUCUAAAACAUUUCAAAGGUAACUUCUUAAAU
This is a long non-coding RNA of Micropterus dolomieu (smallmouth bass), 1276 nucleotides long. RefSeq lists it as uncharacterized. The transcript is spliced from 4 exons. The record is from RefSeq and is a predicted model, not a curated record. Lineage: Eukaryota; Metazoa; Chordata; Actinopteri; Centrarchiformes; Centrarchidae.